RNAcentral lists this ribosomal RNA (252 nucleotides) under uncultured bacterium. Its description in RNAcentral is "partial 16S ribosomal RNA". It matches the Rfam family "Bacterial small subunit ribosomal RNA", at positions 525 to 776 of the family's 1533-position model. The record is from RNAcentral.
ACGUAGGGUGCGAGCGUUGUCCGGAAUUAUUGGGCGUAAAGAGCUCGUAGGCGGCCUGUCGCGUCGGAUGUGAAAGCCCGGGGCUUAACCCCGGGUCUGCAUUCGAUACGGGCAGGCUAGAGUGUGGUAGGGGAGAUCGGAAUUCCUGGUGUAGCGGUGAAAUGCGCAGAUAUCAGGAGGAACACCAGCGGCGAAGGCGGCGCUCUGGGCCGGUACUGACACUGAGGAGCGAAAGCGUGGGUAGCAAACAGG